UUGGUAGAAGCUUUCAGCAUUUUACUGUUGAUAAAAAGAAGAAUAAUAUCCUAUCAAU
This 58-nucleotide transfer RNA is filed under the name Hygrobates longiporus. RNAcentral's name for it is "tRNA-Asn". The record is from RNAcentral. Lineage: Eukaryota; Metazoa; Arthropoda; Arachnida; Trombidiformes; Hygrobatidae.